AGCACUGGAGAAGAACGAGAGAGGGCACAGUGAAGCAAGAGGAACAUAAUGAAGAGGGUGCUCCAGUGCCACACUGAGACACAGGUUGUGCUUCCCUCACAGUAGUUUUAUUGCAGUGGUGACAGUGAGACCUGUAACAUUU
Small nucleolar RNA from Artibeus jamaicensis (Jamaican fruit-eating bat), 142 nucleotides. RefSeq annotates it as small nucleolar RNA SNORA1. The transcript has a single exon. NCBI's taxonomy places the organism in Eukaryota, Metazoa, Chordata, Mammalia, Chiroptera, Phyllostomidae. The record is from RefSeq and is a predicted model, not a curated record.